GAUGAACGCUGGCGGCGUGCCUAAUACAUGCAAGUCGAGCGAACGGACGAGAAGCUUGCUUCUCUGAUGUUAGCGGCGGACGGGUGAGUAACACGUGGAUAACCUACCUAUAAGACUGGGAUAACUUCGGGAAACCGGAGCUAAUACCGGAUAAUAUUUUGAACCGCAUGGUUCAAAAGCGAAAGACGGUCUUGCUGUCACUUAUAGAUGGAUCCGCGCUGCAUUAGCUAGUUGGUAAGGUAACGGCUUACCAAGGCAACGAUGCAUAGCCGACCUGAGAGGGUGAUCGGCCACACUGGAACUGAGACACGGUCCAGACUCCUACGGGAGGCAGCAGUAGGGAAUCUUCCGCAAUGGGCGAAAGCCUGACGGAGCAACGCCGCGUGAGUGAUGAAGGUCUUCGGAUCUUAAACCUCUGUUAUUAGGGAAGAACAUAUGUGUAAGUAACUGUGCACAUCUUGACGGUACCUAAUCAGAAAGCCACGGCUAACUACGUG
Molecule: ribosomal RNA, 497 nt
Filed under: uncultured bacterium
Lineage: Bacteria
Description: partial 16S ribosomal RNA
Rfam family: Bacterial small subunit ribosomal RNA
Source: RNAcentral